This 1176-nucleotide long non-coding RNA is filed under the name Nicotiana tabacum (common tobacco). Its description in RNAcentral is "long non-coding RNA (NTAB_LNC013383)". Lineage: Eukaryota; Viridiplantae; Streptophyta; Magnoliopsida; Solanales; Solanaceae. The record is from RNAcentral.
UCAUAGUUAAUUAAGGAGAGGUUUCGACCAAGAUAGUCUUUGUACAAGCAACGAGCUUUUUAUACAACUUGUUUCGUGAUUUGUCACAAUUAACGUGUGUUACAGAAUUGUCAAGAGAAUCGACUCAAGUAUGUUAAUGUUAUCCCUUUCUUCUUUUGGCAUGAUCCAAGUGAUGAUACGUAAACGUAUGCUAUUCCAUAAGUGGUUCUACUCUUAGUAAUUAAGGAUGUCUAUGUUAUUCAUUCCCGUAAAGUGAUAUUCAAGCAUGUCUAAGUAUGUUCCUAAGUAUCUAUUGAGGUAUUUGAUAAAGAUGUUAAUGUUCAUAAUAUAGUAAUACAUGCAUCUUCAUGCAUAUGCAUUUACCACCGUGCUACAGUCGGCUGAACAGUCAUGCAUAUUCAUUUACCACCGUACUAUGGCCGGUUGGGCAGACAUGCAUUUACCAUCGGGCUAUGGCAGGUCGGGCGCAGUUACCACUGAUUGUGUAGUUAUGUAUCAUUAUUUACCACCGGUCGGGCAGUCAUACAUUUACCUCUGUGCGACGGCCGGUCGGGCAGUUACCGCUGAUCAGUUAGGCAGUCACGCAUCAUACAUAUGGAAAAUGGUCUCAAAGAGAAGCAUUAUAUAUGUAAGUAUAUAAGUAUGCAUAUACAGUGGUUCUUCAAAUAUUCAGUUUCUAAAGUAUGUUAGAGGCCUUGAUGGCCCGUAUGUACUCAUGUUUCAAGAACGAUGGUUCACUGAUACAAUAUUUUCCUACUUAUAGUUAUACAUUAUGAGUUGUGGCUAUGUUGGCACAUGAUAGUUAUAGAAGAAAAAUAAAUGAGUUGCAGAGUGGUUCGCUCGGGCUAGUACUGCACCGAGUGCCAACCACGCCUCCCCAGGUUUGGGGAGUGAUAGCUAGAUACUUAUUGGGUACGCGUUGAUUUACGUACUCAUGCUACUCUUCUGCAAUAUAUAUGCAAGAUUUGACAGGUUCAUUUGAUAGUCAUCCUGGCGUGUAGGCGCAUCUACUGAGGGGACUUCUUGGUGGUGAGCUGCAUUUCAUGCUAUGUAUCGCAGUCCACAGAGUCUCCAUCUUACUACUUGUAUUCCAGAAAGUUGUUGUGUUACUAUUAUGGCUCUCUUUAGUAGACGCUCAUGCAUUUGUGAUACAGGAUUUUGAGAUAUUUUAGUUGA